AUUGAACGCUGGCGGCAGGCUUAACACAUGCAAGUCGAGCGGGGUGAUGGUGCUUGCACUAUCACUUAGCGGCGGACGGGUGAGUAAUGCUUAGGAAUCUGCCUAUUAGUGGGGGACAACAUCUCGAAAGGGAUGCUAAUACCGCAUACGUCCUACGGGAGAAAGCAGGGGAUCACUUGUGACCUUGCGCUAAUGGAUGAGCCUAAGUGGGAUUAGCUAGUUGGUGGGGUAAAGGCCUACCAAGGCGACGAUCUGUAGCGGGUCUGAGAGGAUGAUCCGCCACACUGGGACUGAGACACGGCCCAGAGUCCUACGGGAGGCAGCAGUGGGGAAUAUUGGACAAUGGGGGGAACCCUGAUCCAGUCAUGCCGCGUGUGUGAAGAAGGCCUUAUGGUUGUAAAGCACUUUAAGCGAGGAGGAGGCUCUUUUGGUUAAUACCCAAGAUGAGUGGACGUUACUCGCAGAAUAAGCACCGGCUAACUCUGUGCCAGCCGCCGCCGUAA
RNAcentral lists this ribosomal RNA (503 nucleotides) under uncultured bacterium. Its description in RNAcentral is "partial 16S ribosomal RNA". It matches the Rfam family "Bacterial small subunit ribosomal RNA", at positions 30 to 523 of the family's 1533-position model. The record is from RNAcentral.